GGCGGGGUCGGCCUGGAAGAGGGCGGCGAGCUCGGAGACUUUGAGGUCGGCGUAGAGGGUGUAGCCGGCGAGGGAUUGGCAGGAGUCUGUACCAGAGCAGGGCUCGAUUGUCGACUUGGAGACAGCGACUAGGGGGACGAGUAGGAGGAGCAGAGGGAGGAGGGGAGACAUCGCCGGCGGCGAGGGUUAGGGUUUCAGUGAGGGAGGAGCGGAGCUGUGAUUUUGG
Molecule: unclassified non-coding RNA, 226 nt
Filed under: Hevea brasiliensis (rubber tree)
Lineage: Eukaryota; Viridiplantae; Streptophyta; Magnoliopsida; Malpighiales; Euphorbiaceae
Source: RNAcentral